GACGAACGCUGGCGGCGUGCUUAACACAUGCAAGUCGAGCGGUAAGGCCCUUUCGGGGGUACACGAGCGGCGAACGGGUGAGUAACACGUGGGUGACCUGCCUCAGAGUGGGGGAUAACGUCCCGAAAGGGACGCUAAUACCGCAUAACAUCCUGCCUUUGGAAAGGCGGAGAUCAAAGCCGGGGAUCGCAAGACCUGGCGCUUGGAGAGGGGCCCGCGUCUGAUUAGCUAGUUGGUAGGGUAAUGGCCACCAAGGCAACGAUCAGUAUCCGGCCUGAGAGGGCGGACGGACACACUGGGACUGAGACACGGCCCAGACUCCUACGGGAGGCAGCAGUGGGGAAUUGUUCGCAAUGGGCGCAAGCCUGACGACGCAACGCCGCGUGGAGGAUGAAGAUCUUCGGGUCGUAAACUCCUGUCGAGCGGGACGAACACCUAUCCAGCUAACAUCUGGACUGGCUGACGGUA
This 468-nucleotide ribosomal RNA is filed under the name uncultured bacterium. Its description in RNAcentral is "bacterial SSU rRNA". It matches the Rfam family "Bacterial small subunit ribosomal RNA", at positions 28 to 477 of the family's 1533-position model. The record is from RNAcentral.